CCUGGAGUCAGGUGCUGAUGUACCUGUAUAGCUGUCUCAGGUGAGACGCCAGUGGCGAAGCAGAGAUGGAUGAAGCUCUAGUGCAAAUGUCAGACAUCCCCAAACUGAGUCCCGUCUUGCAGCAGAAUGUGCUCACAGCUUACAGCCAUGAGAAGGAAGAAGUGCCCCAGAGACCAUCUCCCGGCUACGGCUUAAAAGCAGGGGAUGGAGCAUCAGGAACUCAAAGCCAAACUGUCCUCCUCCUGCAGCCAGGGCCAGAAGCAAUUUCAGUCACACAAGUAUGAAGACAGAGAUGUGAAAUGAGCCAGAGAGGAGGAUCAGCUCGUGAUGACAGAUGAGCAAGCUCAUUCUGAACACUUCCCAGGACGUGGUUAAAUCUGAAUUUCUUAAUUUCCAUGGAAAAGCAUCCAUUGACUUUACGCCAGUGCUCCAAGGGGAAGUGCUGCACUGCCCAUCUCACACUUCAGAGAGGGCCUUAUCUGCUUCCUGGGGAGCUGUGACCGGGAAGGAAGCUGCAUGGAUUAGGCUGUAAAUACCUUUUAGGAGUUCUGCUGGUUGUUCACCUACACCCAGCCUGGCCAUGCACUUCUGAGUACAUCCCUAGAUGGACUGCCUUCGAGAGAGCUGAUGCAGUUACUCAGCAGAUCACUUCACAUGAUAUUAGCUCUGUGUUUGUCUGUACUCUUAAAACAUGCGUCAUUGUACACCGUAAUUAUAAGGAGAGCUAACUGGCAAGAAGGAUGAUUGCGUCAUUAAGGGACUGAAAUAAGAAUAACUAAUUCUGCUGUUAACUCCUGAUGUAACCUGGCCAUGACACCGAAGAUCAGUUUUCUCAUCUAAAAGGAAGCAAUUCUCCUAGCUUACCCAUUGUAUUUUCCUGCAUUGAAUAACAUCUCUGAGUCUACGUAACAGUUUGAAGGUACGUGGAGAAGUCGUGUCUACAGCAUGAGAGAUGAGGAUCUAAUCCGGACUGGGAUUUGAACUAAAACUAUAGGUGUCCCACAAUAAGAAUGUUAAUGGCAAUAAUAUUUAUAGUAAAAACAUUUGCAAGAAGUUAGGAAAAUGGAUCAUAAGGAAUAGCUACAAGCAAAGUCUGCAGUAUACAAUAGAACCUGGUUAAUUCUUUCUAUGUCAAUUUGCAAGCCUGACAUCUCUCACCAAAUAUUCUGGCAAGCUCACAGCAUUUUCAAGAAAAGAUUUAACAGCCAAGUUACAGUUGCUUUUAGUUUAGUCUCAUGUUGCUUUUAGUUUAUUAUUAUUGCAAAAUGCACUACCAAACACUUACUAGUCCAUCAUGAAAUAAAAUGCUGUAGAAUUACA
RNAcentral lists this long non-coding RNA (1320 nucleotides) under Anser cygnoides (Swan goose). RNAcentral's name for it is "lncRNA (ENSACDG00005015897.1)". Lineage: Eukaryota; Metazoa; Chordata; Aves; Anseriformes; Anatidae. The record is from RNAcentral.